AAGUUUUGGCUCUUCAUUAAGUUUCUGACCUGCCCUCAUUUAUUUACCUUCCUCUAGCCUCAGUUUCCCUGCCUAUGAAUAGGGAUGAUAAAGGCAGUCAGAACUGUUGUGAAAAUUAAAUAGAUAAAAACAUUUAGCAUAGUCUCAGGCACAUAGAAACACUCAGCAGAUAGGCUGUGAUAUUUCUCAGUAUCCCAUUGUUAUAUCCUGUUGUGAAAAAUGUUGCUGCCUAGUUCUUUAAGCCACUGGUCUUUGGAGUGGUUCUCAGGUGGUUUUUAUCAUGGAGAAAUGAGUAAGAGUUUUCAGAAACUACACUGUCUAAAAAAUACUACUUUUUGAAGUUAUACCCAGCAAGAGUCUCUUCAUUGCAGUCCACCAGGAAAAGGAAAAACAAUUUUAUGAUACUUUACCUAAAUUUUGAGAUUAUCCUUUUUGUUUCUGGAGAAUAUUGCAGGUUACAAAGUGCUUCUUUCUCUCCUUUGUAGGCAGUUUGGAGGAGCAGUGGUACUUAGAAAUCAUUGAUAAAGGCAGUGUCUCCUGCCCUACCUGCCAGGCAGUGGGGAGGAAGACCAUAGAGGGUUUAAAGAAACACAUGGAAAACUGCAAGCAGGAAAUGUUUACUUGUCAUCAUUGUGAGAAACAACUUUGUUCACUGGCAGGGAUGAAGUAUUACAUCAUGGCAAAUCAUAAUAAUUUGAGUUGCUCCAGUAGCUUCACCAGCAUCAUGGGAUAUCUCUACCAUGUCAGAAAAUGUGGCAAAGGGGCUGCAGAGCUGGAAAAGAUGACCCUGAAAUGUCACCACUGUGGAAAACCAUAUAGGUCGAAGGCUGGACUUGCGUAUCACCUGAGGUCAGAGCAUGGGCCUGUGAGUACUGAUCCCUUUCUAUACCCUGGUUGGGGAUGUAUUUUGUGGUGAGUCCUUACCCCCCUCUAACUUCCCAUAUGUGUUUUGUUCCUCAUUUGAAUCCUCUUUUAAUCUCUGAAUGCUUGUGCUCUCUCUUCUUUGUUCUUUUUUGUCCUUUUCUUAUUUCUGCCUUUUGAACAUUAUUAAGUUAGGUAAAUCAAAAUUCAAAGUAUAGUCCAGGCAGAAGUAAACUCAUUA
Molecule: long non-coding RNA, 1102 nt
Organism: Sapajus apella (tufted capuchin)
Lineage: Eukaryota; Metazoa; Chordata; Mammalia; Primates; Cebidae
Exons: 3
Source: RefSeq, a predicted model, not a curated record